UCAUUUUAAUAAAACUCAUCGACGGACCAUGAUCGUCCUCUUUCCAAACCAGAUCCUCGAGUGAAUUAGUAGUGCGCGACGUGACUAGUUUAUCCAUAAAUUUGAGGCGAAAAUCAAGCUGGCAAAAAGGCAGUUUUUGUUCAAUAGUACGAAGUAGUGAAUAGUAUUACGCCAGCCAUUGUAGCCAUAAAAGCAUCAUUGUUCUAUUGUUUGCUUGUGAAGAGUUGUUAAGAAAAAGGUCCCAGCAAAGGACCUUUUUCUUUUUAUUUGGUGUUUUCCCAGAGCCCAGUCGGAAGUUCAGUGGUCCAUCAGCGAGAGCAAAUCGAGCUUUGGAAAGAAUCGAAAGUACGGCCUCUCUGUCGUCACGUUUAGCCGGAAAUCCUUCAGAAGCACUACCGUCGCCAUUGUUCUACGACCACGCGGUGGAUCCGCGGAGAAUCCGACAUACCACUGGGAAAGCCAUCUCUGUCCGGCCGUCCGCCGAAAGUUCAGCUAUUCUUCUUUC
This is a long non-coding RNA of Aedes aegypti (yellow fever mosquito), 505 nucleotides long. RefSeq lists it as uncharacterized. NCBI's taxonomy places the organism in Eukaryota, Metazoa, Arthropoda, Insecta, Diptera, Culicidae. The transcript has 4 exons. The record is from RefSeq and is a predicted model, not a curated record.